RNAcentral lists this microRNA precursor (84 nucleotides) under Carlito syrichta (Philippine tarsier). Its description in RNAcentral is "miRNA (ENSTSYG00000026132.1)". The record is from RNAcentral. Lineage: Eukaryota; Metazoa; Chordata; Mammalia; Primates; Tarsiidae.
AGGAUUGCCUGAGCCUAGGAGGUUGAGGCUGCAGUGAGCUGUAAUCAUGCCACUGCACUCCAGCCUGAGUGACAGAGUGAGACC